AUUGAACGCUGGCGGUAUGCUUAACACAUGCAAGUCGAACGGUAGCAGGCCUUCGGGCGCUGACGAGUGGCGGACGGGUGAGUAACGCGUAGGAAUCUGCCUAGUAGUGGGGGACAACUUAUGGAAACGUAAGCUAAUACCGCAUACGCCCUACGGGGGAAAUCGGGGGAUCUUCGGACCUCGCGCUAUUAGAUGAGCCUGCGUUGGAUUAGCUAGUUGGUGGGGUAAAGGCCUACCAAGGCGACGAUCCAUAGCUGGUCUGAGAGGACGAUCAGCCACACUGGGACGAAGACACGGCCCAGACUCCUACGGGAGGCAGCAGUGGGGAAUAUUGGACAAUGGGCGAAAGACUGAUCCAGCAAUACCGCGUGUGUGAAGAAGGCCUGAGGGUUGUAAAGCACUUUCAAUAGGAAGGAAUACCUAUCGGCUAAUACCCGGUAGACUGACAUUACCUAUACAAGAAGCACCAGCUAACUCCGUGCCAGCCGCCGCCGUAA
This 497-nucleotide ribosomal RNA is filed under the name uncultured bacterium. Its description in RNAcentral is "partial 16S ribosomal RNA". It matches the Rfam family "Bacterial small subunit ribosomal RNA", at positions 30 to 523 of the family's 1533-position model. The record is from RNAcentral.